RNAcentral lists this ribosomal RNA (253 nucleotides) under uncultured prokaryote. Its description in RNAcentral is "partial 16S ribosomal RNA". It matches the Rfam family "Bacterial small subunit ribosomal RNA", at positions 524 to 776 of the family's 1533-position model. The record is from RNAcentral.
GACAGAGGGUGUAAACGUUGCUCGGAAUCACUGGGCGUAAAGGGCGUGUAGGCGGGAAGGAAAGUCAGAUGUGAAAUCCCUGGGCUCAACCCAGGAACUGCAUUUGAAACUCCCUUUCUUGAGUGUCGGAGAGGAGAGCGGAAUUCCUGGUGUAGAGGUGAAAUUCGUAGAUAUCAGGAGGAACACCGGUGGCGAAGGCGGCUCUCUGGACGAUAACUGACGCUGAGACGCGAAAGCGUGGGGAGCAAACAGG